CGUAGGGUGCGAGCGUUAUUCGGAAUUACUGGGCGUAAAGCGUGCGCAGGCGGUUUAGUAAGACAGGCGUGAAAUCCCCGGGCUCAACCUGGGAACUGCGCUUGUGACUGCUAAGCUAGAGUACGGCAGAGGGGGGUGGAAUUCCACGUGUAGCAGUGAAAUGCGUAGAGAUGUGGAGGAACACCAAUGGCGAAGGCAGCCCCCUGGGUCGAUACUGACGCUCAUGCACGAAAGCGUGGGUAGCAAACAGGAUUAGAUACCCUGGUAGUCCACGCCCUAAACGAUGUCAACUAGGUGUUGGGAGGGUAAAACCUUUUAGUACCGGAGCUAACGCGUGAAGUUGACCGCCUGGGGAGUACGGCCGCAAGGUUA
Molecule: ribosomal RNA, 372 nt
Filed under: uncultured organism
Description: bacterial SSU rRNA
Rfam family: Bacterial small subunit ribosomal RNA
Source: RNAcentral